CACCAUCAACCAACUUGCUAAUUUCCAAAUCCCUUGACUUUAUUGGCUCAUGGUAGAUCAUAUAUGCAUAAUAUGAUGAAAUUUGAAGUAUCCCUUGAAAUAUUUGAUCAAUUGGUGAGAUAGCUUGUUGGAGAAGUUACUCAAGAUACCUAGUUAAACUAGGGUUUCCAAGGCAAAUCAACCUCAAACUCUUGAAGAAAACUUGAUCAAUAUAUCAUGUAGAGGUAAUUGGGACUCAUAUAUGAUACUUAUAACCAUUCUUGAAUCAAUUAUUGGUUGUGCUCUUUGUUCAUGAGGGUCUCAAACCCUAGAUGUGAUCUUG
This 322-nucleotide long non-coding RNA is filed under the name Lathyrus oleraceus (garden pea). RNAcentral's name for it is "Pisum sativum (pea) long non-coding RNA (PSAT_LNC012408)". The record is from RNAcentral. Lineage: Eukaryota; Viridiplantae; Streptophyta; Magnoliopsida; Fabales; Fabaceae.